UCUGUGCCCCUCUCUGCUCUCUGCCCCAGGAGGCUGAGCUCUUUGGACCUCACCAGUGAGCUCUCUUGUCUUCUGGCUUGUCUUGGGGUUUGACAACAGAGAGCUCCAGCAGGAGGUCAGAAGGAGAGGGGAGGAUAACUGAAGCUGAGCCAUCCCUUGACAUCAACUAUAUGAAGGAGAAUUUUCCCAAGGAUGAACUGCACCUAUUCUUGCUGCCUUAACCAGAAUACAUGGAACAAAAUCAAACUUUUCUGCCAUAAGGCUGUCUGUCCUCUCACAAGUGACGAUGUCCUCAGGCUCUCAUGAGGUAUGGAGAGUCUGUGUCUGCUACACUUAAUGACCUCAGACGGACAUGUUUUUGAGGUAUAAGCCUCUCAGAAGGCCAAACGUAAACACGGUUCCUGCCCAGCUGGUCUUCUCCUUUGAUAACC
Non-coding RNA from Callorhinus ursinus (northern fur seal), 431 nucleotides. Lineage: Eukaryota; Metazoa; Chordata; Mammalia; Carnivora; Otariidae. The record is from RefSeq and is a predicted model, not a curated record.